RNAcentral lists this long non-coding RNA (1217 nucleotides) under Anolis carolinensis (green anole). Its description in RNAcentral is "lncRNA (ENSACAG00000041322.1)". Lineage: Eukaryota; Metazoa; Chordata; Lepidosauria; Squamata; Anolidae. The record is from RNAcentral.
AUGUGCGUUGUGUGUGUGUGUGUGUGUGUGAUAGAGAAAGACAAUGCUGCAGACUCCAGCAUGUCUCCAACACACACACUCACACACGGAUACUCUCUUCCUGCUGCCUCUCUUUUGCAUUCGGAAGCCAAGGUGUUGAGACACCAGUGGCAUUGUGUGUGUGUAUAUGUGUGUUGCAAUAUCCUUUUUUUUUGCAGCAAAAGGAGACCGAGAGAAAGAGACACACUCUCAUGUGCGCCUAUAUGCGAAUGGAGAUAUAAAUUACAGCAUCCGGAAGAUUUUGAACCGACCUCCGAUCCAUCUCCUGGUGAGGGUGAAACUAGAAACCAAGCCGAAGAAAAAUGAAGACAGGGUGCUGGUAAGGAGAUUCCUGGGAAUUGCUAAUAUUAUUAUUAUUAUCAUCAUCAUUGGUGCUGGUAAGGAGAUUCCUGGGAAUUAUUAUUAACAUUGGGUUGCUAUGAGUUUUCCGGGCUGUCUGGCCAUGUUCCAGAAGCAUGCUCUCCUGACGUUUCGCCCACAUCUAUGGCAGGCAUCCUCAGAGGUUGUGAGGUCUGUUGGAAACUAGGCGAAUGGGAUUUAUAUAUUUGUAGAAUGUCCACGGUGGGGGAAAGCACUCUUGUCUGUUUGACGCAAGUAUGAAUAUUGCACUUGGCCACCUUUGAUUCGCAUUGAAAUAAUAAUAAUAAUAAUAAUAAUAAUAAUAAUAAUAAUAAUAAUAAUAAACUUUAUUUAUACCCCGCCACCAUCUCCCCAAUGGGGACUUGGGGCGGCUUACAUGGAGCCAUGCCCAGAACAAUACAAUUUGUUAGAAUAUAAAAAGAGCAACAAAUCAUAACACAUUGAACAAUACAAUAAAUGAUAAUAUACAUUACAACGCAAAAUCAGAAGAACAAUAAAAACAAGGGCGGGCCACAUGAACACUAAGUUAAAACUCAGGGUGAGAAAAGGAAUAAGAAUAAAAACCACAAAGAACAGGGUCAUAAAAUAGUGGUGCAAUCUGGAGGAUAGAUAUUGGAGGAGAGCAACAGGGAAGAUGUAUAUAGUAAUUACUCUCCAAAAGCACAACGGAAGAAUAGCUUUGCAGCUUCAAAGACUGGCUGCUUCCUGCCCGAGGGAAUCCUUGGUUGGGAGGUGUUAGCUGGCCCUGAUUGUUUCUUGUCUGGAAUUCCCAUUUUUUCCCAACAAAGGAUACCCUCAGGCAGGAAGGAGCCAGGCUU